This 418-nucleotide long non-coding RNA is filed under the name Microcebus murinus (gray mouse lemur). Its description in RNAcentral is "lncRNA (ENSMICG00000048817.1)". The record is from RNAcentral. Lineage: Eukaryota; Metazoa; Chordata; Mammalia; Primates; Cheirogaleidae.
CUGUGUCUGUUGUUUUUAUUUCUAUUUCUAGUAUCGGGGUAGUAAGACUACCUGCUUCACCGGGCUGGGGCGCAGAUUAAGCAGGCUAACAUUGACCAGGGGAUUGGUGCAGUGCCUGGCACACAGUGGAUGUUACAUACGUGUUUGCUGAAAAAGUCAGCAGUCAGGGCUUGGCAUAUGGGGCAGCUGAUGAGAUGACUAAAAGCCCCCACACUUCCAAGGAACCCGACAAAGUGGUGACAGGUAAUCAGCUGGAAAGACAGUGGUGGGGGUGCAUACGCAUAUGUGUUUGUGUGUGCAUGGUAAGUGUGUGUUUGAGCGUAUUUUGCAUGUAUGUGUGCACAUACAUCUAUGCUGUUUGUAUGUGUGCAUGUGAAUAUGUGUGUGUAUUUGUAAGCAUGCAUGUGUGUUGUGUUGG